AAAUACCUAUACAAUACAAGUGCAUCACCUGGUUUAGUAUCGUCUUCCCACAAUACCACCACGAUUCUUGGAUAUUAACAUCAUUAAGGCUAAAGAAAAGAGUCAUCACUCGAGUAAUAAUCGGGACAAAAUCAUAGAAGAUACAUGGGUAGCAAUUUAGACAAAUCAUAGAAGAUACGUGGGUAUCAAUUUACCCCUUGCACUUGUCCACUACACUUCUUUUACCAUGAGCCCAAUGG
This 239-nucleotide unclassified non-coding RNA is filed under the name Hevea brasiliensis (rubber tree). Lineage: Eukaryota; Viridiplantae; Streptophyta; Magnoliopsida; Malpighiales; Euphorbiaceae. The record is from RNAcentral.